This is a non-coding RNA of Elaeis guineensis (African oil palm), 2103 nucleotides long. The record is from RefSeq and is a predicted model, not a curated record. Lineage: Eukaryota; Viridiplantae; Streptophyta; Magnoliopsida; Arecales; Arecaceae.
ACAGUGUUCAAAUGUGUAUUACAAUACUAAUUGCCAAGGAUUUGCUCUCAUUUAUCAAUUUUUUGUAGUAAUUCAGUAUAGCGUUCUUUAUGACCGUCAUAUAAAAUUUAGUACAAAGACAAAAAUUGUUUUAAGCAUCAUUAACACAAACCAUACUUUAGUGUAUGUUUGUCACUAAAACCCCAUUCUUUUAAUGAUUAUCAUCCCUGAAGUAGCUAAGCUGACAAAAACAAGAGGCUUUGGGACCUAGAGUUAGCUUUGAAACAUGUGCUUGUAUGCAUAAAUAUGAUAUAGAUUUAGAAGGGCUGGAAGUUCCUUUUUCUUGUUCAUGGAUAAUUGUAAUAAUCCACACAAAGAGAACUUGGAAUGUUAUGUUCAACUUGGGUCACACAACUGGCUAACGUGCAUUGAAGGGCUGUGCAUCAUUGACAGUGAGCAUAUAUGUAGUUUAAUCUUUUAGCUUCCUCAAUCUUAUCUUUUAGUUCUGUUUAACUUUUAGUUCUAGUUUUAUUAAUGAGUAUGGCUGAGACUAGAAUAUCCUGCAGUUGUUUGGAACGUUUUAUGGGCAUAAUUUAAUAAGCCACAUCAAGUGUUAGUUUAUGGAAGUGAAAAACAGGCGAGGUUUUAGGUUUUUGCUCGAAGGUGUCAUGUUCUGGGUUUUCUCAGUUUUGGGGGUGAUUGGAAAUAAAGUGUUUCUUUCCAAUGGCCAUCCAAUCCGUUACUUCUAUCUCUUCUCUUUUUUUUUCAAUCACAUGUCAAAGGGUCAUGUUUAGUGGUUUGAGUUCUAGUAUUAAAAUUGGCACCAAUGCUUAUUACCUCUCCAUAUGUAUCUCUCUGAUUUCUCAUUUAUCUUCUUCUUUCCCCUAUUCCUUAUGUUGUAGAGACCUAUCCGAUCUUUCAUCAUUAUGUUUUUAGCUCAUGUAAAACUAUUCACAACCCACCCAACUUCCUUUCCAAUGUUAACCUUAUCAUAAUAAACCAUAGUUCUAAAUUCUAAAUUGGAAUCCUGAAGCAGAAUCCUGAAGCCAUUAAUUUAUCCUAUCAUUUUGGAGUUUAUUAAUAGCCUAUUAAAGCCUUUAUCCCGUUACUGCAUAAAAUCCUUCCUUUAUAAUUAAUAGAAAUUUAAACUUUUCAGUCUUUCUAACCUUUUGCCAAACUCUUUGGGCACUCAUUUUAUAGGUUUCUAAAUGCAUUCAGAGUAACAAGGGUUUGUAGAAGCCAUCGUCUAUAUUCCUUAGCCUAUAGUAACAUAUGCAAAUUCCCAACAUUUGGAGUCGACAAUAAUGAUGCUAAGGAGUUAAAUGCUUUCAAAGAAACAAAUUAUUGUAAAUGCCAUCCCAUACGUUCUCUUGUUGUCCUAUAGUAUGAUAUGUGAAUUUCCAAAUCUUGGAGUUUGCACCGAUGAUGCUUACCUUAUUGUUCUGAUGUUUUAAGUGGUUGCAAUUAAGUAUUGGUUUUUAAGUUUCAAUUGCCACUGAGCUUUUUUAUUUUUUUUGACAAAUAAUUGACCCAAGCCAAAACCGAUAAAAGAUCAAUCCUCGUUGUUAAGUUUUCAUUGGUUUAACUUUCAAAUCUUUCAUGGGGACAAAUUUACUGUAUAUUGGUGAUUAAUCUCAUUAUCAGGUCAGUGCUUCUUCGCAUUUGAGUUUUGAGGGGUCAGCUUGCUUCAGCAAUUAUUCUUGCUUCCUGGAAAUUUCUCUUUUGGAGAUCUAUGAAGAUUAUGAUUUUUGACUAAGCAAGCAGGUUUUAGAUUUUAAGUAUUUUUGGAUGUGCUGUUGGUUUGGAGAACAGUUGACCAAAUUGUCUCUGUAACUGAGCUAUAUAAUUGGAGCUUCAAUCCAGUACUAGGAAUCCUGGGCCUUGAUUUCAUUUGUGAUUUUCUGUAAGCUUGUCCAUACAAAGUCCUUUGCAUUAUGACUUUCUGUUGUCAUGCUGAUCCAAAAAUAUUACUUUCAUAACCUGCCAUUUUAUGUGAUUCAGGGCAAAUGCUUUCUCCUGUUGAUGUACUUGUAAAACCUAUACCGGUUUGCAGUACAAAUGUAUGAGCUUCUAUUUUGAAAUGUGAAAGGAUGGCUUAAUCUUAUGUCAUAGAAUUUUGGAGUG